UACGUAGGUGGCAAGCGUUGUCCGGAAUUAUUGGGCGUAAAGCGCGCGCAGGCGGUUCUUUUAAGUCUGAUGUGAAAGCCCACGGCUCAACCGUGGAGGGUCAUUGGAAACUGGAGAACUUGAGUACAGAAGAGGAAAGCGGAAUUCCACGUGUAGCGGUGAAAUGCGUAGAGAUGUGGAGGAACACCAGUGGCGAAGGCGGCUUUCUGGUCUGUAACUGACGCUGAGGCGCGAAAAGCGUGGGGAGCAAACAGG
This 255-nucleotide ribosomal RNA is filed under the name uncultured bacterium. Its description in RNAcentral is "partial 16S ribosomal RNA". It matches the Rfam family "Bacterial small subunit ribosomal RNA", at positions 524 to 776 of the family's 1533-position model. The record is from RNAcentral.